This 4064-nucleotide long non-coding RNA is filed under the name Gallus gallus (chicken). RNAcentral's name for it is "lncRNA (ENSGALG00010006870.1)". The record is from RNAcentral. Lineage: Eukaryota; Metazoa; Chordata; Aves; Galliformes; Phasianidae.
GCGGGGACACGGCCUGGGGGGGCGGCCCACGGGGCCCGGGCAGGUCUCGGCCUCCCGGGGGGACCGUGAGGGCUCGGGAGAGGGUGAGGAGCCGCUUCGCUCCCGGAGAGAGGAGGUUGCGUCGGGGUUUUGUAAAAAGAGGGGGAGGGGUGGAAGCAAGAGUUGAAAGGGAAGUUAACAGGAUCCCGGUUACGCUGUAAGCCCGGAGACGCAUUAACACGUGGAUUGCUUUCUUCAUUAACUCUGACACGUCUCCUAGAACGGUGGUUCGGGAUAAAAUGCCACUUCCAAUAUUCGGAAUUACUCAUUCCGCUCUGCUCUGCCCUCAGCCCAUCCAUUCCGGCUCUGGCUGUACGGUAUAUUCCCGAAUACAAUGGCAUCGCCCCCAAAUACUCGAACUCCGCGCACAAACAAACAAACACUGAAUAAAGUUACAAACGAGAUUAUGGCCGGAGUUAUUUGUCCCUGCAGCAAGGCGUCAAUUGUUCUAACAGAUGUAGGGGCGCUAAGAGGAUUUAAACCACGCGAAUUUAAUAAACCAGAUUAGCAAUAGGUGCUUCCCACAGAUGCUGGGAACCGCACAGCACAUCCACUCCACGUUAUCUAUCGGAGCACAGCGCUGCUUGAGAGGGCUGCGGGACAUUUGCGAAGGAUGCGAGCGGGUUUCAUACAAGCACGGUCUGUCCCCUCGAAAACAAACUUUCUAUUCGCAUGGAAGCUCCCGCUGCACGCCCACGGGCACACGCACAGCAGUGGCUCAGACACACCGGGGGACGCAUUCCGGGAUGUUACCUGUUGUGGUGCCAUCGCUCCGCAGCGCUGCGCCGAAGGGGAGAGGGGAGCGGGCGAGGGCGGCGCGGGGCCCGGCGCACCUCGGGGCGGUGAUUGGAAGCAGACCCGGCCGGGCUGCAGCGGAUUUUCCCUCCCUCCGAGGGCUAAGAAGCCGAUUUGGGAGUUUGAAGGGAAUAGGUUUCAGCGUCCAUAUUUGUUCUGGUGCACUUGUAAAAUGCGAUUUGAAGAGGAUCUUUAGCUCUCUGAUUGUCUUUGUAUUGUUUUUCUUGAAACGGAUCUUUUGCCCUUAAUGAAUCCCCACACAGCUGGACAGCUCCUUCUCGGACACUGAGAGCGCUAACCCCAAACUGACCCCAAUUUGACACCACAAGAUGAAAUUUUACCGCCUGUUAAAACCAUUUCCAGCCCCGGCCAAAGGAGCUGGCUGUUGACUGAGAUGCACUUCCACACCGGACACCUCAUUUCUCUUUGGGCUUUGGGGCCGAUCUAAAAAGAAAAACAAAAAACAGAAAACCCAAAAAACGAUAAUAAAAAAAAAAGCCCAGCACGCACCGCACCUCCUCACCACUCACACUUGUCCUGGGAUCAGCCUCUGCCCUGAAAGUGAUGCACGAGAAAUGGAAAUUGGCCAAUUGAAUUUUCCCGAAUGGCCGUGUUUUACAAGAAAUACGGCGCAACGCUGAAAAUAAAAAUAAUAACAAUAAUAAUUAAAAAGUAAAUUAAAAAUGACCUAAGGACGUAGAAGCCCCCCAGCCCCGGGUGCACGGAUCCCAUUUCCCUCCGAGCUCCCAAAAGCAUCUUUGUUAGAGCUGCGUACUUUCACUGAAGGGCGCUGCACUGACAUUCUCUUUUAAUGGUCAAACUGUAGCGCUUUAUAACCGCGUUCUCUGCGUGCCUUAAUCCACUGGGAUAGUGAGGAGGAAAAAGGCUUCGACUCUUUUCAAGGAGAAAAAAAAAAGACACAAGAGGAACGUGAAAGCCCCCCCCCCCCCCCCCCCUCGUUUGCCAGAUGAAAUUUCACUUUCUCUCAAGUUAAAAAUCAUUUUUAAAAGUUGGUCCCUGUCCCACCCGCACAGCGGGGCGAGGCAGCGCGGGGGGGGUCGUUGGUUUGGGGAAUUAAAAAUAAAAGCCAAACUGAGCAAAUGAAAGGAGCAGCACAGAACGCUGCUAAAAAAAAAAUUCUUUGGCUGCUUUUUUUCUUUCUUUCUUUCUUUCCUUUCUUUCUUUCUUUUUUUUUUUUUUUUUUUUCUUCCCAGCUUGGAUUAUAGAUUGCUGGCUAACAAUUCUCUGCUCUGAAGAUUCGGACUUAAAGGAGCUCCUGUGAAAAACAGAAUUAUUAAAAAAUAAAAAAAUGAAAAAUAAAAGCGAGUCUAAAAUGAUAUCCUAAACAAUGACGUGCCUUCUGCUAUGGGAGCAAAGUCGUGUAAAAAAACUUCUCUUUGAGAAGAAGAGUGGUGAAGUUCUCUCCCAGUCUGAGCUCUGAGCAAACACACGGAGCCCUCAGCGGGACCGGAUUACCGUUGCACGGCCGCGGCACAGAGACAGAGCCCCUCUCGGUGCCACUGACCCUCUCGGAGCGAGGCGCGCUCGGGCACAGCAGGGGGCACGGCUGCAAAAUCCGUUUGGGAGCUGCAAAUAUUUACAACGCGUCCCUGAGGUUCCCGCAUGGGCUGCGUCGCCAUGAAGGGACGCCUCGGGAGUUUGGAACUCGGGCAUCCUUGUGGCGGGGUAGGGGGGUUGGGGGGUGGGGGGAAGAGAGAAGAAAAAAAUAAUCGCAAGAAAACAAAUAGCAUUCACCGCUGAGCAGAUCUCUCAAAAAUCUGUUCGAAACGUACAGCUGUAAAAGUAGGAAAAGAUUUGCAUAACCUCCUGCUCUGUAGGUCUCCGCGCACCCAAAGGAUUAGCCGAGCAUUCAUUACCAUGAAUAUCCUGAAUUACGUUCCCGAUUUAUACGACGGAGUAUAAAAUACUGCACGAGCGUCCCCUCUUUUCCCUGCGAAACGCAUCGACUUCACCACUGCUCGAAAGAGAUCUGCACACUGAGGGCUUUCUACUCACCUCUCCUCCCAGUCCCGGGAAAGCCAGGCGCAGCCAUUCGGUUGCUCUUAGGAUUUAGCUCUAAUCUCGGAGGAGAUCCUCUCAGAAAAGCACCGCGGGGUCGUGCCCGGCUCCGGGCCGCGAACGAGGGCAGCUCCGGCCGACACCGGGGCCGACACCGGGGCCGCUUCUCCCCUUCUCCAGCCCGCAGCCGCCGGGCCGGGUGCUGCCGGAGCUCGGGGGAUGCCCACUGGCGUCCGUCAGCCCCACGCUAUCUUUCUUUAUAUGUGAGGGCUGAUUUCCCGCAGACAUCAUUGUUAUGAUGGCUCAUUUAAUCAAACUGUUUAAUUGCUCCGGUAAUCACUAUCAUCAUCACAGGUACUCAAUCAUUCAUCAUUUUGGAGGGCUUUAUUGACCUCUGGAGCUCAUUCCCCGCUCCUAUUAAAAUCAGGCCAAAUAUCUGCAACUGCCCCUGAGUCAUUUUCUUAAAGUUAAAAAAAAAAACAAAAAAAGUUAAAAUCAUCACUCUCAUCCUGAAAAGCAACGCAAAACACGCCAACCCCUACCCGAACAAAUCACAUCAUUCUUAUUUUUUUUUUUUCCUGCCGUGUAUUUCUAAAAGCCACCUAUGUACGAGGCCACAUUCACCACCGGGUACACAAUCAUUGAUAAAUCCCGCUAUUAACGGGAUAGUCUGGUUUAGAUUUUAUGUGCAGGGGACCGUGAACGAGGCUGGGGGCUGGGGAGGACAAAACUGCAGCGAUCGAUAGUCGGAGGCUCGCUCCUCCCCUCACUGGAGGCGCCCCGUGAUUGAUGAGCCCGGGGAGCGCCGGUAAUUGACUGCGCUAGGGUAAGGCAUGCUCGGGCUGAGCGCGGCGAUUGGCCGAGGGAGCAUACCAAAAUUACCGCGUGUGUGCGCGUGUGUUUGGAAAAGUUCAUCUGGUGCUCGGGGCUGGGGGUGCAUCCUCUCACUUCAUUUGCCAAACCGUCCUCCUGUAAUUAGCGCUCCCGUUAGAGGCAUUACCGGGCUCACACCCCGGCGCGCAUCCCGUCGAGGUACGGCAAAGUCCACGGACGCGCCCACGCGAGUCCGCCGCUGCCCGCCGGCUCCGCUCGGAGGGAACGCGUACAGCGGCCGCGGCACAUCUGGGUCUCUCCCGGCAGAGCCGGGCCGACCUCCGUUCCGAGCCCCUCUCCCACGCUCCGUUGGCAGCCCAGAAAGGGAUUCCCCUUCC